GUCCAUGCCGUAAACGUUGUAUACUUGAUGUAGUUGGGCUCAACCCCGACUGUGUCGAAGCUAACGCGAUAAGUAUACCGCCUGAGGAGUACGCUCGCAAGGGUGAAACUCAAAAGAAUUGACGGGGGCCCCGCACAAGCAGUGGAGAAUGUGGUUUAAUUCGAUGCAACGCGAAGAACCUUACCCAGGUUUGAAAUACAUAGGACAGCUACAGAAAUGUAGUCUCCCGCAAGGGUCUAUGAACAGGUGCUGCAUGGCUGUCGU
This 264-nucleotide ribosomal RNA is filed under the name uncultured bacterium. RNAcentral describes it as "partial 16S ribosomal RNA". It matches the Rfam family "Bacterial small subunit ribosomal RNA", at positions 793 to 1055 of the family's 1533-position model. The record is from RNAcentral.